UGGCGAUCCUUCAAAUCAAUCUUGACGAAGCCGUGCGUGCCAUGCGUCGUGCAUAAGUGUUCCUCCUGCGUCUCCUUGGAUGUUGCCGGGUCUCCUGGAAAUUCAUCCACAGCUGGAAACCAAAAUUGUGCUUCAUCCCAGACCACAGCUUAUCUCCACAUCAAAGCCUCAUAUCACCAUUACAUCUCCAGUCUCACUCACGUUCGCUCUGAACAGAAAAAAAAAAAAACGGUUGCUGCACUUCACAAGGCAAGAAUCCAUCUCAUCAUUUUCUCCUGGGGGGGGGGGGGGGGGUAUUCUGUAAGAGUACACCUAGUGGGCUGUCCAUUUCGGCCACUGCUGAUUGGAUUCAGCUCUGUGAGAGGAGGAGACGAGCAGCCCUAGCCAAUCAGUAGCGGCCGAAAUGGACAGUCCACUAGGUGGGCUCUUACAGAAUACUCCUCCCCACCCCCCACCCCCCUGCUCACCACAUCUUGCCUGCUGCUUUCUCUUGUCAUGUAUGACUUUGCACAUACUUUUCGUUCAUGUUCUCCUUUCUGCUUUGGCACUACACCUAUGCUUCCUUCUUUUUUUUUUUUUUUUUGUUCAAGCAAUAGCUCUUCAUUGCCAUUGCUAUUUUCUCGGCCUUCGCGUAUUCUAUUGCAGUCACUAGCAUCAUACUUACUAAUCAGUGCGGAAGCAAUGGAAGACACACGGAAGGGCACUGGACGAGUGCUGUCUAAUAACUGAAAUUUAUUGAACACUAGCAUCAAAUGUCUCUUACCUUUUGUUGCUCCAUAUAACUUGCUAGAAAUGCAAUAGAAAUUUUCAUCAUAGGGCAUUCAGUCUUGGAGCAUACUGAAAUUAUAGCUAUUUGCUUUGUGAUGAAGUAUUGCUUUAGUAAAAAACAACUAAUUAACUUGGCAAGUUGUUUCCAAAGGCUACAUCCUUUGCAUGUCCAAAUGUCCACACCUUGCAAGUUCCUAAAGAACUUCACAGCUUCAAAGGCUUUUGUUUCAUAAUUUUGCAGCUUAAUUUAGCAUUUUACCCCCGUUGUUCAUCUCAUUAUUGUGGUUGUUGUGUGACAGUACCGAACUUAGACCUUAGCAUGAAGCAAUGCUUAAAAACCGUUGUGCUCUUACACGCUUUAUCAAAUCACUGCUUUGUUUUAAUGUUACUGGUGCUGUGGCUUUGGUGUUGGCUGCUAAGCCCAAGGCCGUGCGAUCAAAUCCAAGCCCCUGCGGCCACAUUUCGAUCGGGGCAAAAUGCAAAAAAUGCUGUGCGCCUUGCAUUGGGUGCAUGUUAAACCCAGGUAGUCAGAAUUAAUCCAGAGUUUCUCAUUAUUGCAUCCCUCAUCAUCAUUUAGUGAUUUUGGCAUGUAAAACCACUGAACUUAAUUUUUAAGUAUUGUCUUUGCCCAGUACAAAUCUGGAUUUUGGAUGUCACUGCAAAUGUAACCAAUACACAAAUUUAAAUACUUUGUCAUCUAAAGAAAAAUGGGACACUAUAAAAUGCAGUAAUCACCAUUAUGUGCCUUGCAUCCAGAACAAUAUCAGCACGCUAGGAAGCACCAUCGCCAUUGCCUGUUGCUUGACGACUCCAUUACACCUCGCCACAGUCAAACAGAACAGCUUUCACCUCCAACUUUUGUCCACUCUCCUUUGCCUGUUGUCUAAUCAUCUCGCCAAAUUCUAUGGUUGCUAUCCUGUUCUCCAGCUGUGAAUCGUGGUUGAACCACUUCAAACGUCUGUCGACUUGUUUAUCUGACACAGUGAAGUAAAAGUGUACUUACUCACUGUGAAGUAAAAAUGCACUGCAGUGAUGUUGCAGUGAUACUCUUGCCAGAAUAACCUACUUUUCAUGAAACCAGAGUAGUAGUCAGAAGACUGGCAUUUAUGCCAGCUGCAUUGCCAAGCUCCUGCACAAGAGCAGAGCUUAGCAUCUGAGCAUUCGCAUCAUUCUGAGUAUUCUUGCAUAUCAUUUUCGCUUGUUAAACCUUGCUACAAGACAUUAAUUUUCAGCAGCCAAGCCUGACAGCUUUGGUCAAUCUUUCGUGCUCUGAGCUGGUUUGAUGCAAUACUUUUAACGGAAUUUCUUUAUUGCUGUUUAUUAUGUGGUCAGUGACAGGAUUUUUUUUUAUGCAAGAAUGUUAAAUGGUUCCUUCAGUGAAAAAGCCGGCAGCACCUGUAGCAGCAAAACGGUGCCUAAUUUCCCGUUGACUGUGACGCCAUGUGAGCACACGAGGCGCGCUCAUGACACUAGCUUGCAUUUGCUGGCUCGUGUCUCAGCAGAGGAAAGCGAGUGAAGGGGAACAUCUGCUGCUGCGCUACUUCGCGAGGGGAGAGUGCAUUGCUACGACAAAACAUCACCUUCCCUCUCGCAAGCCUGUGUUACCACCUGUUCCUUGUCUACUCAAGCUCUUGUGUGUGUUCUAACUGCGCCUCGGUGAGGCUAAGCUAAAUCAAUAUGUGCCAAGCGUCUUAACGUGCCCGCUUGCCCGCGAGGAGUUCAUAACUCGGACUGCUCAGUGGCGUUCAGUUGGACAUUAAAGUAUUCACAACUCAUAAGAAGUGCUUAGGUAUCCUCGGAUUUUCUUCGUACUUAAUGCACAAACUUCGAAGUCAUUUUUCCUGGCGAAAUGAGUUAAAUAUCAUCGUCCUUUGUCUGCUGUCCGGCCUUUGUGUGAGCCUUAUACAUCUUCGCAGCCACUCCUGUCAUGCACAGUAAUUUGUGUACUUGUGCUUGUAUCUUUAAUGGCAUAUGAUUAAUUAAUGCAUUUUAUUUGCAUGAUCCAACUAAACAUGAUCUCAAAAAGCUUCACUUGACUGCUCACUUGUCCCUGUGGCUACAUUGUGUGGAUGUACUAUCAGCGUCAAAUGAAACGCAAACAGCAGAGUGCAUGCCUGUAGCAUCACUGAAUGUAUAGUGCACACACUUGGCCAAUCAUCACCCUCACAGGCGUGCACAUCUGGUUUCACAACACUGUGCAAUGAUGCCCUAUACUGAGAUAUUUUUCUUUCUGUUUUGCUUCUUGCUUUCUUAGAUUUUUGGUUUUUUUUUUGCUUUGAAAUAAAAGGAAAGCAUAACAGAAAGAAAAUUUGACUGCAUUCAAUGUGUUAGAAAACGUUCACUUCAAUAUUUUUUUCUCACACUUCAAUCAAAAGCAGUGUGGCAACACUGAGUCUUGAUGAAAUGAAUUGGCACCCUCGGAAACUGUUCCCACUGGUAAUCGAAGCUGAUCUUGAAGGCCAUGCUUUUGUCUAUUGGAAAAACUGGAACUGAUUUCAGGAGCUGGGAAAUACGUUAUGGCCCUCAUUCAUUGUUUUGCUUUUGCAUCUUGGCAGUUUGCUGCUGCUAUUUAUAGCACAAGUGAAGGAAUUGUAGCACAAGUAACACUGACACCUGUGCUGCCCUUUUUGGUGCCAGAGUGUGUGAAGGAAGGCUGCUAUCUGGUCUUGAAAUCCAUCGAAGCAGCCUUAUUCCCAGACAUCACACAGCCUUGCCAAAAUGGCGGUUGGCACGAAGGGUCUAGAGGCAGCGACUUGAAAUAGAAUUUUCGACUUACCAUACCAGAAAUGGUUUUAUUUCCAACAAACAUUGUUGGGUGUCCUCCAGGCGAAAAGCUGCAACAUACAGCUUUAAUGUGCCUGAAGGCCCUCGCAUGGCAGCAGUAAGUCUCCUAUCGGCAAACGUAUAACAUACGAAACACUAAUCUAUUAGGAUAUACAUUUACAAUGUAGCAAAAGAAAUGUGUGAAAUCUAAAGAAACAUUCAUCUUUUCAGAUAAUUAUAUAGUAUUUGUAAAAAAAAUUCUUCUUAAUGCACAACAAAGCUAAGAUGCAUAUUAUAUGUAUUAUACAUCCCAAAAGAUCACAUUUCAAAAAUAAGCACUACAGACAUGUCUAGCAUGUACACUCGCCCACAAAAUGUUACAGGGUGCGCAAGCGUGUGGCAAAACGACCCUUCUUCCCUUCUAGCUGUGCACCCAUGGUAUCGAGUUUGCACGCAUGCGCGUCCCUCUGAGACUGCAAGCGUGCAUGUUUCUGCACUUCCUCCUUGUGCGCCGGCGAUAUCCGAAUGUAGCCGUGAGGUGCCCCUCUUGCGAUGGGCACGAAACUAUGUGAAGCCUGAGCUUGCGCGUGCCGCUGCGGCUGCUUUUUGUCGAGUCACGAGCGCCGACGCAUACGGCCCAGUGGCGAACCCUGCAAGUAAUUUUCUUUUAAUGAGCUGCACCAUUUUGUGUCCAAUCUUUGUUGUUUCUUUUUAUGAAUGGGGCAUUCUCCCACAGAAGAGCAUGUCAGAAAAUGCCCCCUAUAGAAGGAGACAGUGUCAACUCCCAUUGAAGACCAGCAGUUAGGACACAUGGACCUGUGACAGAAAAGCUGCCGGAUGGAUCUGGGACAGCGACGCUGGCCUGUACUUUCCUAUCGUCUCCAUUAUCCAUGGCAACCUGCUACAAGUAAACAAAAGCUGAAGCGGCCUUCAAGUGUCAAGUGUGGAAAAAGAUGUUUUGCGGCAAUGGCUGUGACUGAAGACAACACAGGUGUGUAUGUGGUUUUCCAAUUCAAGCACAGAGGCCACGACUUUGAACUGGGUCGUGUUUUUCUGUCCAAGUCGGAAAGAGCUGCUAUUGCUGACAAGCUGCGAGAAGGCGUGUCCAUGGAUGCAGUACUGGAUAAUGUGCGGUCCAACGUGGAUGAGACAUUCCACCGCAUUAACCUGUUAAGCAAGCAGGAUCUCCGCAAAAUAAUGAGGGAUGCCAGAGUCUUGAAGACCGAGCGGCUGCACGAUAAUGACUAUGUGAGCGUGCAACUCUGGGUUGAGAGGAUGCAUAGUGAAAAGGAAAACCCAUUGCUCUUCUUUAAACACCAAGGACAACCUGACAAAAAGUGACAUUUUUUUAGAGAAAAAAAUGAGGACCUUUUGGAUGACAGAGAUUUUAUGCUAGUCAUCAUGACCACACCACAACAGGAGCUUUUCAAGAGGCUUGGAACUGAUCGUAUAUGUGUCGAUGGAACACAUGGAACAGCAGGUGAGCAGUACUAUAUAAAUGCCUUAAUAAUAAAAGCAAGAAAGAGGGAAUGCUGUCCAAGAAUAAUUGCAAUAGAUAUGAUGAGUAGUAUUCCUUCACACAUGA
Molecule: RNA transcript, 5116 nt
Organism: Dermacentor andersoni
Lineage: Eukaryota; Metazoa; Arthropoda; Arachnida; Ixodida; Ixodidae
Gene name: zinc finger transcription factor family protein 17-like
Source: RefSeq, a predicted model, not a curated record